RNAcentral lists this ribosomal RNA (465 nucleotides) under uncultured bacterium. Its description in RNAcentral is "partial 16S ribosomal RNA". It matches the Rfam family "Bacterial small subunit ribosomal RNA", at positions 338 to 795 of the family's 1533-position model. The record is from RNAcentral.
CCUACGGGAGGCAGCAGUAGGGAAUCUUCCACAAUGGACGAAAGUCUGAUGGAGCAACGCCGCGUGAGUGAAGAAGUGUUUCGGCUCGUAAAGCUCUGUUGGUAGUGAAGAAAGAUAGAGGUAGUAACUGGCCUUUAUUUGACGGUAAUUACUUAGAAAGUCACGGCUAACUACGUGCCAGCAGCCGCGGUAAUACGUAGGUGGCAAGCGUUGUCCGGAUUUAUUGGGCGUAAAGCGAGUGCAGGCGGUUCAAUAAGUCUGAUGUUAAAGCCUUCGGCUCAACCGGAGAAUUGCAUCAGAAACUGUUGAAGUUGAGUGCAGAAGAGGAGAGUGGAACUCCAUGUGUAGCGGUGGAACGCGUAGAUAUAUGGAAGAAAACCAGUGGCGAAGGCGGCUCUCUGGUCUGCAACUGACGCUGAGGCUCGAAAGCAUGGGUAGCGAACAGGAUUAGAUACCCCAGUAGUC